This 76-nucleotide transfer RNA is filed under the name Caldisphaera lagunensis DSM 15908. RNAcentral describes it as "tRNA-Cys". It matches the Rfam family "tRNA". Rfam says of the family: Transfer RNA (tRNA) molecules are approximately 80 nucleotides in length. Their secondary structure includes four short double-helical elements and three loops (D, anti-codon, and T loops). Further hydrogen bonds mediate the characteristic L-shaped molecular structure. tRNAs have two regions of fundamental functional importance: the anti-codon, which is responsible for specific mRNA codon recognition, and the 3' end, to which the tRNAs corresponding amino acid is attached (by aminoacyl-tRNA synthetases). tRNAs cope with the degeneracy of the genetic code in two manners: having more than one tRNA (with a specific anti-codon) for a particular amino acid; and 'wobble' base-pairing, i.e. permitting non-standard base-pairing at the 3rd anti-codon position. Lineage: Archaea; Thermoproteati; Thermoproteota; Thermoprotei; Acidilobales; Acidilobaceae. The record is from RNAcentral.
GCCGGGGUGGCCGAGCGGUCUAAGGCGGCGGGCUGCAGUGACCCGUUUUUCCCGGGUUCGAAUCCCGGCCCCGGCU